This 827-nucleotide ribosomal RNA is filed under the name uncultured phototrophic eukaryote. RNAcentral describes it as "bacterial SSU rRNA". It matches the Rfam family "Bacterial small subunit ribosomal RNA", at positions 28 to 896 of the family's 1533-position model. The record is from RNAcentral.
GAUGAACGCUGGCGGUAUGCUUAAUACAUGCAAGUCGUACGAGAGUUUUUGACUCUAGUGGCGGACGGGUGAGUAACACGUGAGAAUCUGCCCUUAGGAGGAGGAUAACAGCUGGAAACGGUUGCUAAUACUCCAUAUGCCGAGAGGUGAAAGGAAGUAUCUGCCUAAGGAGGAGCUCGCGUCUGAUUAGCUAGUUGGUAGGGUAAAAGCCUACCAAGGCGACGAUCAGUAGCUGGUUUGAGAGGAUGAUCAGCCACACUGGGACUGAGACACGGCCCAGACUCCUGCGGGAGGCAGCAGUAGGGAAUUUUCCGCAAUGGGCGAAAGCCUGACGGAGCAAUACCGCGUGAGGGAUGACGGCCUGUGGGUUGUAAACCUCCUUUCUCAAGGAAGAAGUUCUGACGGUACUUGAGGAAUAAGCAUCGGCUAACUCUGUGCCAGCAGCCGCGGUAAUACAGAGGAUGCAAGCGUUAUCCGGAAUCACUGGGCAUAAAGCGUCUGUAGGUUGUUUAGUAAGUCUGCUGUUAAAGACUGGGGCUCAACCCCAGAAAAGCAGUGGAAACUGCUAGACUUGAGUGUGGUAGAGGUAGAGGGAAUUCCUAGUGUAGCGGUGAAAUGCGUAGAUAUUAGGAAGAACACCAAUGGCGAAGGCACUCUACUGGGCCAUAACUGACACUGAGAGACGACAGCUAGGGGAGCAAAUGGGAUUAGAUACCCCAGUAGUCCUAGCCGUAAACGAUGGAUACUAGAUGUUGCACGUAUUAACCCGUGCAGUAUCGUAGCUAAGGCGUUAAGUAUCCCGCCUGGGAAGUACGCUCGCAAGAGUG